This 478-nucleotide ribosomal RNA is filed under the name uncultured bacterium. RNAcentral's name for it is "partial 16S ribosomal RNA". It matches the Rfam family "Bacterial small subunit ribosomal RNA", at positions 28 to 523 of the family's 1533-position model. The record is from RNAcentral.
GACGAAAGCUGGCGGCGUGCUUAACACAUGCAAGUCGAACGGUAAGGCCCUUCGGGGUACACGAGUGGCGAACGGGUGAGUAACACGUGGGUGAUCUGCCCUGCACUUCGGGAUAAGCCUGGGCAACUGGGUCUAAUACCGGAUAGGACCACUGCCUGCAUGGGUGGUGGUGGAAAGCUUUUGCGGUGUGGGAUGGGCGCGCGGCGUAUGAGCUUGUUGGUGGGGUGAUGGCCUACCAAGGCGACGACGGGUAGCCGGCCUGGGAGGGUGACCGGCCACACUGGGACUGAGAUACGGCCCAGACUCCUACGGGAGGCAGCAGUGGGGAAUAUUGCACAAUGGGCGCAAGCCUGAGUCAGCGACGCCGCGUGAGGGAUGACGGCCUUCGGGUUGUAAACCUCUUUCAGCACCGACGAAGCGCAAGUGACGGUAGGUGCAGAAGAAGGACCGGCCAACUACGUGCCAGCAGCCGCAGUAA